This is a non-coding RNA of Drosophila suzukii, 362 nucleotides long. The record is from RefSeq and is a predicted model, not a curated record. Lineage: Eukaryota; Metazoa; Arthropoda; Insecta; Diptera; Drosophilidae.
CGGAUUAGCGGAACCGUUGUUGUUGUUGCUUGUUGUUUUUCUGGAAGGCACGCUACUUUUUUCGUCUUUUUCACUUGGGUUUACUUAUAUGAAGGAGUUAGAAUUGCACGCAAUUAAGGUAGUUAAAUAAAAUAAACCAGUGGUUUAAAAGUGAUACCUAUACGAUUCUCAGACAAGGCUGAUGGUAAAUCUAUAAAAAAAAUGGAAGGCUAAGUCGUUCCAUCUUAAGCAUAUUAUCCGAGGAACUUGUUCUGUCCCACAACUUGGAGGGGGGCAAAACAAGAAGAGGCUCAGACUACCCAAAUUUCGCCGUGCCCUAUUAAAUGCAAUCGCCCUGGUGGAUCCCUCGGAGCCUCCCGAAA